Molecule: long non-coding RNA, 465 nt
Filed under: Prunus dulcis (almond)
Lineage: Eukaryota; Viridiplantae; Streptophyta; Magnoliopsida; Rosales; Rosaceae
Description: sRNA ncRNA
Source: RNAcentral
AUGUCACUCUCAAGCAAGGUUAGUGAAAAAUAUUCAUCCGAUGAGCAUCUUUUUAGUGUUUUUUGCUGUGAUUUCUCACUGAUUAUUUUUGGGAAGCUCUCCUAGUUGAAAUUUGUGACCCUUGAUUUCAACAAUUUACAAGGUUCUUUGCCCUCAUCUUUGAUGAAUUUCACAAACCUUGUAGAACUACACUUGGGUUCCAAUCCAACAACUUGGAAGGAGAUAUCUGCAUGCUUCAUUUUUCCAGACUUAGUCAAUAACUUUACUGGUACGUUUCCAAUAAGCAUUUACUCAUGUAGGUCCCUAAAAGCAAUUCAAUUGACUUCAAGUCAUCUAGGGGGGCAAAUACAACCUCAGAUUCUUUCAUUGAAAUACUUGUCCUCCCUCUCAAUUGGUGGCAAUAGAUUGACCAAUGUCAGAGGAGCAAUGAAAAUGCUAAUGCGUUGCUUUCAGAACCCUUUAUAA